GCCGACUUCCAUGGCCACCGUCCUGCUGUCUUUAGUUACUAACGCCUUUUGUGGGGUCCGAUAUGCGUUGAUUUUGGCACUAUAACUUUACGACCGGUUCAUCCCGCAUCGCCAGUUCUGCUUACCAAAAAUGGCCCACUGAAGGCCUUUACUAUCUAUCCACUUGCUACGUAGCAGCACGCUAGCUAAUGGAAAACACACACAUUAACAGUUUGAGAAUAGGUUGAGAACGUUUCGAACCCAACGACUCUAAUCAUUCGCUUUACCGCAUGUGACUAUCGUUACUAGACCUCAGCUAUCCUUAGGGAAACUUCGAAAGGAACCAGCUACUAGAUGGUUCGAUUGGUCUUUCGCCCCUAUACAUAGUUCUGAUGAUCGAUUUGCACGUCAGAACCAUUGCGGACCUCCACCAGAGUUUCCCCUGGCUUCAUCCUUUCCAUGCAUAGUUCACCAUCUUUCGGGUUCCAGAGCACGAGCUACGAGUACGGCAGCGCCAUUGCUGACGCGUAAUUGCCAUCUCCGAUUUGCCUAGACUUGCCAUUGUGUGAAAUAUAGAUAAAUCUAUAUACACAUAAUAUUUUUAAUACAUACAGUCUCAUCAUACAAACACACGAGCCGUACAUGUACGACCCUCGAUUGCUUUCGUUAAGUUUGACGGAUUCUAUAAAAUGAACCUUUGCGUCACGCUCGUUCGCUGGACUCCUUGGUCC
Molecule: ribosomal RNA, 710 nt
Filed under: Apoderiger sp. JP-2014
Lineage: Eukaryota; Metazoa; Arthropoda; Insecta; Coleoptera; Staphylinidae
Description: partial 28S ribosomal RNA
Source: RNAcentral